GAUGAACGCUGGCGGCGUGCCUAAUACAUGCAAGUCGAGCGAACAGACGAGGAGCUUGCUCCUCUGACGUUAGCGGCGGACGGGUGAGUAACACGUGGAUAACCUACCUAUAAGACUGGGAUAACUUCGGGAAACCGGAGCUAAUACCGGAUAAUAUAUUGAACCGCAUGGUUCAAUAGUGAAAGACGGUUUUGCUGUCACUUAUAGAUGGAUCCGCGCCGCAUUAGCUAGUUGGUAAGGUAACGGCUUACCAAGGCGACGAUGCGUAGCCGACCUGAGAGGGUGAUCGGCCACACUGGAACUGAGACACGGUCCAGACUCCUACGGGAGGCAGCAGGAGGGAAUCUUCCGCAAUGGGCGAAAGCCUGACGGAGCAACGCCGCGUGAGUGAUGAAGGUCUGCGGAUCGUAAAACUCUGUUAUUAGGGAAGAACAAAUGUGUAAGUAACUAUGCACGUCUUGACGGUACCUAAGCAGAAAGCCACGGCUAACUACGU
This 496-nucleotide ribosomal RNA is filed under the name uncultured bacterium. RNAcentral describes it as "partial 16S ribosomal RNA". It matches the Rfam family "Bacterial small subunit ribosomal RNA", at positions 28 to 506 of the family's 1533-position model. The record is from RNAcentral.